CUAGUACUUUCUCCAUCCGGAAUUACUUGUCAUCAAAAUGAAUAAAAAUGAAUGUAUCUAGAACUAAAAUACAUGUAGAUACAUCUAUUUCAAUGACAAGUAUUUCCGGACAGAGGGAAUACAAG
Triticum aestivum (bread wheat) is the source of this 125-nucleotide non-coding RNA. NCBI's taxonomy places the organism in Eukaryota, Viridiplantae, Streptophyta, Magnoliopsida, Poales, Poaceae. The record is from Rfam.